AGACUGGGAUAACUCCGGGAAACCGGGGCUAAUACCGGAUGCUUGUUUGAACCGCAUGGUUCAAACAUAAAAGGUGGCUUCGGCUACCACUUACAGAUGGACCCGCGGCGCAUUAGCUAGUUGGUGAGGUAAUGGCUCACCAAGGCAACGAUGCGUAGCCGACCUGAGAGGGUGAUCGGCCACACUGGGACUGAGACACGGCCCAGACUCCUACGGGAGGCAGCAGUAGGGAAUCUUCCGCAAUGGACGAAAGUCUGACGGAGCAACGCCGCGUGAGUGAUGAAGGUUUUCGGAUCGUAAAGCUCUGUUGUUAGGGAAGAACAAGUACCGUUCGAAUAGGGCGGUACCUUGACGGUACCUAACCAGAAAGCCACGGCUAACUACGUGCCAGCAGCCGCGGUAAUACGUAGGUGGCAAGCGUUGUCCGGAAUUAUUGGGCGUAAAGGGCUCGCAGGCGGUUUCUUAAGUCUGAUGUGAAAGCCCCCGGCUCAACCGGGGAGGGUCAUUGGAAACUGGGGAACUUGAGUGCAGAAGAGGAGAGUGGAAUUCCACGUGUAGCGGUGAAAUGCGUAGAGAUGUGGAGGAACACCAGUGGCGAAGGCGACUCUCUGGUCUGUAACUGACGCUGAGGAGCGAAAGCGUGGGGAGCGAACAGGAUUAGAUACCCUGGUAGUCCACGCCGUAAACGAUGAGUGCUAAGUGUUAGGGGGUUUCCGCCCCUUAGUGCUGCAGCUAACGCAUUAAGCACUCCGCCUGGGGAGUACGGUCGCAAGACUGAAACUCAAAGGAAUUGACGGGGGCCCGCACAAGCGGUGGAGCAUGUGGUUUAAUUCGAAGCAACGCGAAGAACCUUACCAGGUCUUGACAUCCUCUGACAAUCCUAGAGAUAGGACGUCCCCUUCGGGGGCAGAGUGACAGGUGGUGCAUGGUUGUCGUCAGCUCGUGUCGUGAGAUGUUGGGUUAAGUCCCGCAACGAGCGCAACCCUUGAUCUUAGUUGCCAGCAUUCAGUUGGGCACUCUAAGGUGACUGCCGGUGACAAACCGGAGGAAGGUGGGGAUGACGUCAAAUCAUCAUGCCCCUUAUGACCUGGGCUACACACGUGCUACAAUGGACAGAACAAAGGGCAGCGAAACCGCGAGGUUAAGCCAAUCCCACAAAUCUGUUCUCAGUUCGGAUCGCAGUCUGCAACUCGACUGCGUGAAGCUGGAAUCGCUAGUAAUCGCGGAUCAGCAUGCCGCGGUGAAUACGUUCCC
RNAcentral lists this ribosomal RNA (1254 nucleotides) under Bacillus subtilis. Its description in RNAcentral is "bacterial SSU rRNA". It matches the Rfam family "Bacterial small subunit ribosomal RNA", at positions 135 to 1375 of the family's 1533-position model. The record is from RNAcentral. Lineage: Bacteria; Bacillati; Bacillota; Bacilli; Caryophanales; Bacillaceae.